UGACUGUGCGCUAAAGGCUUUGCCACACUCCUUCCACCUGUAAGGUUUCUCUCCAGUGUGAAUUCUAGUAUGUUGUGCCAGGUGUGAAUCACACCCAAAAGCCUUGUCACACACCUUACAUUUGUAUGGUUUCUCUCCCGUAUGAAUUCUCCUGUGUCUUUCAAGGUGUGAUUUGCGACUGAAAACUUUGUCACAUUCUUCACAUUUGUAAGGUUUCUCUCCAGUAUGAAGUCUACAAUGAAGUACAAGGUGUGAUUUUCUAUUAAAAACCUUUUCACAUUCAUUACACUUGUGAGGUUUCUCUCCAGUAUGACUUCUAUGAUGGUAUACAAGGGAUGACAUCUGACUGAAGGCCUUGUUACAC
Molecule: long non-coding RNA, 364 nt
Organism: Sapajus apella (tufted capuchin)
Lineage: Eukaryota; Metazoa; Chordata; Mammalia; Primates; Cebidae
Exons: 3
Source: RefSeq, a predicted model, not a curated record